GACGAACGCUGGCGGCGUGCUUAACACAUGCAAGUCGAACGGUAAGGCCCUUCGGGGUACACGAGUGGCGAACGGGUGAGUAACACGUGGGUGAUCUGCCCUGCGCUUCGGGAUAAGCCUGGGAAACUGGGUAUUAUACCGGAUAGGACCACUGCCUGCAUGGGGGGUGGUGGAAAGCUUUUGCGGUGUGGGAUGGGCCCGCGGCCUAUCAGCUUGUUGGUGGGGUGAUGGCCUACCAAGGCGACGACGGUUAGCCGGCCUGAGAGGGUGACCGGCCACACUGGGACUGAGAUACGGCCCAGACUCCUACGGGAGGCAGCAGUGGGGAAUAUUGCACAAUGGGCGCAAGCCUGAUGCAGCGACGCCGCGUGAGGGAUGACGGCCUUCGGGUUGUAAACCUCUUUCAGCACCGACGAAGCGCAAGUGACGGUAGGUGCAGAAGAAGGACCGGCCAACUACGUGCCAGCCGCCGCCGUAA
This 478-nucleotide ribosomal RNA is filed under the name uncultured bacterium. Its description in RNAcentral is "partial 16S ribosomal RNA". It matches the Rfam family "Bacterial small subunit ribosomal RNA", at positions 28 to 523 of the family's 1533-position model. The record is from RNAcentral.